CUUGGUUGUGCGAUGCUGUGUGCAGCUUCCGUAGUUUGAGACGAGCGGCCACAUUGGAGAUGUUUGUUCAGCGGUGACGACAAGGCGGAUUUUUGUUCAACAUUCACGGCUUGGUAAACGAAGCCUUCUAAUGGUGAGCGUAUGAUUUUCCAUUAGCAGUGACCGUCUGGGCUGUCCCAUUCGGCUCUGCAACAACAGGGCUCAGUUAAGUGUCAGCGAAACGUCAAUGCAAGUGUAAAAGUUGUUUAGCUGUAGAGCUAGACAGAUGAAGAUGGCAAGCUUCAAGAGGAGCUACGCGCCUUUGUCUCCGAGUAGCUUUAGUUAGGCUUAACUGAGCCCACAUUUCGUUCGUCACAGACCAACGGCUCGUGUAGUUAGUGACGAAUGGAAUGUUUUUUUUUUUUUUUUUUUUUUUUUUGUUCUUGCGUCAACUGAAGAGGAACUCCGCACUUCAGUUCGUAAGCCAAAUGGGUGUUACGGUAAAGGUAGGCAAGAACUUCUGUAUCCACCUUCGAUUCCAAUUCCAUCGUCGUUAGGGUUAGCUUACGGUCGCGGUGUUAGGCAUGCAAUCUGUUGUGGCGUUUCCCCGUUUUCUUCGUAUUUUUAUCUUCUCGUUGUGAUUGGGCUACGUUUGAAAAUAAAGUACAUGUGCUCCUUCCUUGUAUGUCAUUUUUCUCGCCACCCCCUUGACGCAAACAUUCACUAGCUUACUGUUGAGGCAGUGAUAUACUGCGACCACCCCCCGUUGUCUGUCUUGCUUUGUCAUUUGGGUACAUUAGUGUUCAAUUGUACUUGAUUAUUGCAAUAAAUGCUUGCUUCCUUGUUUCGCCCUUCUUUCAUCGGUCCCCGGCACACAAACAUGCAUUAGCUCACUGGUUGAGGCAGGUAAAUUUUGAAUCCCCCCUUGCCUUCCAGAUCGUCUGCUACACCAGUCUUCUCCGAAGAGACUGCAAGGACGUCCACCAAUGAGGCGCACCACCUCGCGAAGUAUAUUGUGUAUUGUAACGAUAUUUGCUAAUUUGCUUCUAUCUGCAGGCUGUGGGCCCUUGGGUGAGGACGCAGGAACCAUUAAAUCCCGGUGUGCCCUCUUCAUUCCUGAAAGGAUGACAUGUAGCUGGUGAAGAUGCAUCAUACAAGCCGCCGUGUUGUCCUUGUUUUCCUCAAGGUUUUAUGUAUAAUAUUGUUUUUCAAUUGUUGCGAAUUAAAUGAUCGAGAAAUUUC
Ornithodoros turicata is the source of this 1221-nucleotide long non-coding RNA. RefSeq lists it as uncharacterized. The transcript is spliced from 2 exons. NCBI's taxonomy places the organism in Eukaryota, Metazoa, Arthropoda, Arachnida, Ixodida, Argasidae. The record is from RefSeq and is a predicted model, not a curated record.